UUUGGUAGCAAGAGAUUAGAUAAUAAAGGAUCUGAAAGUAAGUGUGUGAUAUGUAUCAGAGUUAUGGUAAGUUGUUCUGUGGGGCUUGUGUAUAUAAAGGGUCAGACUGUAAAUUACUUCACAUGAAAAUAUAGAUGGAGAGUAACCAAACUAAUAAAAGUUCAAUAGAGGCACUCAAGCUGGUCCACAUAGGCCGUCAGGCUAUGUUGCUUGGACUCUCCAAAUACUGAAAUACUGCCAUACCCAUGUCGGAUCCUCCAAAAUGCACCCAAUGGCAUUUUUGAAGAGUCCGAGCAACAUAGGC
This 304-nucleotide long non-coding RNA is filed under the name Nicotiana benthamiana. RNAcentral's name for it is "long non-coding RNA (NBEN_LNC002341)". The record is from RNAcentral. Lineage: Eukaryota; Viridiplantae; Streptophyta; Magnoliopsida; Solanales; Solanaceae.